GGCAUUCAAUGAAACAUGUAAAAUAAGAAAUAAUUAAAGAUGGAAAAAUUACCCAAAAGUUGAUGAAUCCAAACAACAUCUUCAACAGGGAAAUUAACAUGUCUUUGCAUUUCUCCAAUUCAUGAAAAAGGGUCCCAAAUAGACAUUAUAACAUUAAGCCAAAAAGAAAAAAAACAUUCUUCAAAAAGGAUUACGGAGACAAACACUACUAGAAAAAUUGAAAUUAGAGACGGGAGAAAUCUGUCUCUAAAACCUGUAAUUUCCGUCACAAAACAAGUUAGAGACGGAAUUAGAGACAGAUACAGUUCCGUUGUUAUUUUCGUGGUCUCUAAAGUGUUCAGAGACGGAUUUUGCUCUCCGUCACUGGUCAGAGACGGAAUUUGUCCGUGUCUAUCCUACAUCCGUCUCUAAUUCCGUCUCUAUCAACACCCAAUUAUUUCCAUCUCUAACCUACUGAAUUCCGUCUCUAAUAAUAAUAAUUAUUUUCUGUAAUUAAUAAUUAUUAUAUUUGUCCUGUUUGCAAUCAAAUGAUUACAUAAUUUUCUAAAUGCUAAUUCAUUUUUCUUACUAUAACUACCUCUAUAAGGUGACAAUCAAAUUUCAAUCAACUCCAAAUUUGCAAUACUUAAUCAAAAGCACAUGUAAUUUCUUUAUACAACAAAACAUGAACAAGUGCGCCAAUAGAUGAUAUAAAAUUUAAAGUUCCAUAGAAUAAAAAAGAUCAUAAUAUUUGAUCUAAUAAAAAUACAUAAAUUAAAGUAACCGAAACUAUAGCCUAUGAAGUCAAGUGUUGCAUUGCAUCUGAGGUCUGUGAGGCUUGUAAAGCUUAACUUGGUUCCCUAUGCAAAUGCAUCCAAAGGCAGCACAUCAUAGCAUAUGAAGUCCAGUGAUGCUAACUACAAUAGAAACGAUUAUGACAAUCAUUAAAUGACUAACAAGCAGCACCAAAAUAACUUGGUGCUCAAAAAUGUAAAAAAUUGAAAGAGGGGAAAUGUAUGGAACAUGAAGAGUUCAUAUAAGAGCUUUAUUAGGUCCGUAACAUCAUUGAAGUAAAUGAAACAAGAAUGACAACAUCAGCAAACCUGAGAUGAAUAAUUAGUAAAUACGUUUGGCUUGCAGGUAAAACUAAGAGCAUCAAACAUACUGAUGGAUUCUUUAGGUUUCAAUGGACAUAGCAGUCUGGCAAAGAAUACUUAUAGUUAUCCUUUGUUGAUUGAUCCUGCCAUUUGCAGUAACCAAAAUGUAUCCCUUGGGAGCAAAUAUUUUAUCACAUUAUGUAAACCAUAUGAACAAUGAAAGAUAGAAAUGAUUAAGUUAAAACUAUGGUUUUAUUGAAUGUUUUUUGGCACAUUAUAUAAAGAGUUGUGCUGGCUGGAAACUAUUGUUUCAAAAUAGAAACCACAACAAAAAUUUAAAAUCUUAGAAAUACUUUAACAAAAACAAAUAAGUUCAAGCCACAAACAAAUAUCUUUAAAAUUAAUACACCAUGUAUUCAGCAUGGUAAGACAAAAUAAUAUCUAGAAAACAAAGGCCUGUCUCAAGAAAUAAAUGAGUCAAGAAGAAACCUUUGUUCUUUAUCUUAGGCUUAGGAUGUCUUUUCCUUAAUACUCACAAAUGGGACUGCCUGAAGCUUGAUUGAUCUAACUUCUGUUAAAAAGGAAAGUUGGCGAAUAAUUAUGAAAAGGUAGCUUGAGGCCAAACUAAGGUAGAUGAAAAAAAUUAAGGCAACCAAGUGCAGUUAGGAACAAAUAGAACAUGCUCAAAUUAUUUUGAUUCAAGUCAACCCAUGAAACCAACCUUGAUUACUAGGAGUAAUCCUUUUGGGUACAACAUGAAUCAAAUUGACAAAAACACUGCUUAGAAAGUAACAAAGAGACAUUCAUAACCAUAUGAAAGAAGUUGACACCUAUAUUUGUCCAUGAGUAUUCAAUUUGUCAAACACACACAUGACUCCUCUUUAAGAAACAAAAAUGGAAAGGAUGGUACGUAUGAUGAACAUAAUACCUUGGAUAACAAAAUUGUACCUCCUACAAUUGUUUCAAAGCAUCCCUGCCAUUAUAAGCUAAUUAAAUUGGGAAUGAAAAACAAAACAGAACAUAUUGACACCAAAUUCAUAUCAAAUAUCACCACCAAAAAAAUUCAUAUCAAAUAUGCUCUGUCUUAUAUUAGUAUUUUCUAAUUUUCUUAAUUAUAUAAAUGAAAUGGCUCUCACAUAAUCAGGAACAUAAACAACAAACCAACACAAUGGUACCACCUAUAUGGAUUCAACACACAACCAGCCAUAAUAAUAAAAACUACAACUCAGCUACUGACCCAACACCACCGCAUGUAAUUAGAUUAAAUUAAUUCAAUUUCAAAUUAUUACGGCGACGAUGUAUGAAUAUAGUAUUUGUCAAAUGAUAAAUAUGUACACAUACACAAAUUCCAAACCUUAGAAGCUUUCUAACCAAAACCAAUGAAUAUUCAAAAGUCAAAACUAUGAAACAAACAUCACUUUUUUAAAACUAUUCACACAACAAGUGCUUCACCUUGAUUUUUUUUGUGAACACUCUUCACAGUGUGAGGGCUAACAUGAGGCUUUUUACACUACAAAGUAAAUUAAUAAAUAAACUAUAAUAAUCCAAAACGAAAAUAAACAAAAAUUAAUCAACAAAAUAUAGGGGAAUUAAAGAAAUAAACUGUGUUUAGAAGUAACCCAUUUGUUCUUUGUCUAAGCUACAGGGAUUCCUUUCUGUAAAACCCAUAAAAGGGUCUCCCUCAAGCUUGAUUGCUGAAAUGGGUAUCUAGGUUAAAAGCAAGGCAUAUAAAUAAAGGGGUAAUUAAUGAAAAGAUUUGGAGUGAUCUUUUUGAAGAAACUAACCUCAACCACAAGAACUGCAGAAAGGUGUAAAUGGGUCGAAAUGAAGGAACUAAAGGAACGAACAGGACGGGGACAGUCACCUGAGAGAAAGGAAGAACAAAGUGAAACAAGCAAGAAACAGUAAGGAACUGAGAUGGACAUAUUCAGAGAGAUGAACGGAACUGUUACCUAACGAUGUCAUACAACGCGGGUAAUCGGAGAUGAAAGGAUUCGAAAAUUCCAAUUUAGGGAUUUUGUGAAAUGGGAGAUGGAGUGAUUUUGAUUUUGUGUUUUGGUUAUUUUAGGGAUUUGCUGAAAUUUGAAAUGGAGGGAUGAAAAAAUUUGGGGAUUUAGUUAAGAUGAGAUGAUAAAAGAUUUGGGGGAAAUACAGGAGCCAAGUGAAAGUGAAAUUAGAUUUUGGAGCUCUUUAAAAAUGAGAUAUGACUCACACGAAUAGAUUUAAAAAUCUCACUCCAAGUCAGAGACGGAAAUAGAGACAGAAUAACUUUGGGUAGGUAAAAUCCGUCUCUAAAGUCUGUCUCUAAUGUUAAAAGUUUAAUUUCGUCACUAUUUGUAAAUUUCCGUCUCCAUUUCGGUCUCUAGGAGAGACGGAAUAAAUUCCGUCUCCAAAUUCCGUCGGUAUUUGAGACUUUUCUAGUAGUGAAAACAAAUCAAAUAAACACAAAAUUACCAAACAACAAACCCAAAAACUUCAAUAUUGGAAAUUCACUUCUAAUUUAAUUCACCUAUGAAUCAAUCCCCUUUUUUUGAAAAUUAAACUUUGAAUCCCUACAAUGAGUCUAAUAUAGAGAAUCAUCAUUAAUAAUAUGAUUCAAUAAUAGAUAAUAUUGGCAAGAUAUGCACACUAAAAUCUUACCUUAAUGAAACCAAGCCUUAAUGCCAUAUAGUCCAACUUUGUCAUAGAUCCAUAAAAUU
This 3775-nucleotide long non-coding RNA is filed under the name Medicago truncatula (barrel medic). RNAcentral describes it as "long non-coding RNA (MTRU_LNC002738)". Lineage: Eukaryota; Viridiplantae; Streptophyta; Magnoliopsida; Fabales; Fabaceae. The record is from RNAcentral.